AUAAGUCUUUGAAUGACUAAGGGUUGGUAUAAGUGAAAAAUAUAAUGUAACUCAAGUUAUGUUAGACCUCGACUUCACCUGCUCUCGACUUCCUUCUCUAAAGUGCCGAACUCGACUACCACCACACUCAAACUACUCUAAAAUAUUUAUUAAACAGUAAAACCUAAACUCUACUUCCCUUAUAAUAGAUAAGAAUUAUCUUAUUUAUAAUAAAUUAGGAUUAUCUUUAAAUAAUAAUUAUAUAAUAAGUUAAAUUUUAUAACAGUAAAUUUACUAUUAUAUUUAGGAGAUAAUGGGAUCCACUUUUUUACAUCAAAACAAACAACGGAACUCACAAAACUAAUUUCACCAGUACCAAAUUAUAUCAAAACAAACAGAAGAAGUAAUUGAAUUUAACUUUCAGGGAAUACGAGUUACGUCAAAACAAACAACAAAAAAAUAAUCACACUUUAGGAAAACUCAAACACUACUGUACUUGACUUACGUUGGAUCUACAGAUUCGUCAAUCCAAACGGACCCAAAUUGGUCGAACAAACUUACUUUGAGAAAAGGAGAGUAGAGAGGGAAUUGAUGCAAUUUUUUUUGUUUUCUCAUUUUAAUUCUUUUUCCUUACAUAUGUAUGCAUAAGAACAUUAAAGGUUAAUGAAAUAAAAUUUUCCCUGUGAGGGUAAUUGUUUGGGAAAACUUCAAAAACUCUCCUGUGGUUUCGCAUUUUCUCACUUUAGUAUCCUAUGGUUUAAAGUGUAUCAAUUUGGUGCCUUGUGGUUUUAUUUUUAUCUUUUCGGCAGCUUUUUCUUUAAUAUUUCGUUAAAUUAUAUACAAAAAACUUCAGAUACCCACCUAAAUUUAUCGAAUAUACAUUUUAUUACCUUUUAAUUUUAAUUUUAACUUUGUCACUGAUUUAAGAAAAAAAAAAUAGUGCAAUUGAUUAUAAAAAAAAAAUAAUAAAACCACAGGGUACUAAAGUGAGAAAGUGCGAAACUACAUAAGGGGUUUUUGAAAUUUU
This 1006-nucleotide long non-coding RNA is filed under the name Ananas comosus (pineapple). RNAcentral's name for it is "long non-coding RNA (ACOM_LNC011568)". Lineage: Eukaryota; Viridiplantae; Streptophyta; Magnoliopsida; Poales; Bromeliaceae. The record is from RNAcentral.